This 253-nucleotide ribosomal RNA is filed under the name uncultured bacterium. RNAcentral describes it as "partial 16S ribosomal RNA". It matches the Rfam family "Bacterial small subunit ribosomal RNA", at positions 524 to 776 of the family's 1533-position model. The record is from RNAcentral.
UACGUAGGGUGCAAGCGUUAAUCGGAAUUACUGGGCGUAAAGCGUGCGCAGGCGGUUCUAUAAGACAGAUGUGAAAUCCCCGGGCUCAACCUGGGAACUGCAUUUGUGACUGUAGAGCUGGAGUACGGUAGAGGGGGAUGGAAUUCCGCGUGUAGCGGUGAAAUGCGUAGAUAUCUGGAGGAACACCGGUGGCGAAGGCGGCAUCCUGGACCGGUAUUGACGCUGAGGCGCGAAAGCUAGGGGAGCAAACGGG